AGUGAACGCUGGCGGCGUGCUUAACACAUGCAAGUCAAACGAACAAAAUCGGUGCUUGCACUGAUCUAGUUAGUGGCAGACGGGUGAGUAACACAUGGGAAUCUACCUUGCAGUACAGAAUAACUAUUGGAAACGGUAGCUAAUACUGUAUACAGCCGAGAGGCGAAAGAUCUAUCGCUGUAAGAUGAGCCCAUGCAAGAUUAGCUUGUUGGUGAGGUAAUGGCUUACCAAGGCUACGAUCUUUAGCUGGUCCAAGAGGAUGAUCAGCCACACUGGGAUUGAGAUACGGUCCAGACUCCUACGGGAGGCAGCAGUGGGGAAUAUUGGACAAUGGGCGAAAGCCUGAUCCAGCGACGCCGCGUGAGUGAUGAAGGCCUUAGGAUUGUAAAGCUCUUUUAGUGGGGAAGAUAAUGACGGUACCCACAAAAAAAGUCCCGGCUAACUUCGU
Molecule: ribosomal RNA, 448 nt
Filed under: uncultured bacterium
Lineage: Bacteria
Description: bacterial SSU rRNA
Rfam family: Bacterial small subunit ribosomal RNA
Source: RNAcentral